Molecule: microRNA precursor, 92 nt
Filed under: Canis lupus familiaris (dog)
Lineage: Eukaryota; Metazoa; Chordata; Mammalia; Carnivora; Canidae
Also listed under: 1 other name
Description: mir-8799 microRNA precursor family
Rfam family: mir-8799 microRNA precursor family
Source: Rfam by way of RNAcentral
GGGGAAGCGCAGGAUCCUGGGCUGUGUCCCCCGGUGCCCUGGGAUCCUGGGCCUGUGCUGCUGGAAUCAUGCUCCCGGGGCCGUGGCUCCCA